Molecule: non-coding RNA, 27 nt
Filed under: Mus musculus (house mouse)
Lineage: Eukaryota; Metazoa; Chordata; Mammalia; Rodentia; Muridae
Source: RNAcentral
UGAGAAGCCCCUUCUCCAACUUGAGCC